Molecule: non-coding RNA, 727 nt
Organism: Biomphalaria pfeifferi
Lineage: Eukaryota; Metazoa; Mollusca; Gastropoda; Planorbidae
Source: the annotation of a GenBank genome assembly
AUUUUAAAACAAGUAUGUUUUUAAUUUUUUCCAAAUUAUACAAGCACCCCAUAAUAAAUAAAAGAAAAUAAACAUUCACAUUAUUGAUAUAUAUAUGUUUGUCUCAUAUAAUAAAUACAAAUUUAUAUUUACAUUAUUGUAUUGUUAUAACUGUAGAGGGAGCUUAAAGACAGUUGUGAAGAAUUAGAAAAUACUGUAAGUUUGAUUUUUUAAAUAUUUUAUCUGCAGGGACAGAAUCUUUUAUGCUUUACCCCCUCACUCUCAAUUUUAAAGCAAAUUGAAAAGAAAAUAAUUCUUUUUAGUAGUCAGUUGAAAGAUUUAAAUUGUAUACAAGUACAACUGUAGAUGCCAACCAUUUAUCAAGUUUAUUUACCUUUAACUUUUUUAUUAUGCAGGUGGACAUUUUGAUAUACUUUAUAACUUAUCUUUAUAACUUAUAAAUCAAUGAAAAAAAAAAGAUAACACUAUCUCACAAUAUUUGUUUUUUCAUUUAAUUUUGUUUGCAAAGAAAGCUUAUCCAACCCAAAUGCUUAAUUUUGUGAAACAAAUGUUUGUUUUUUUCUCUUCUUUAACAAGAAAAACAAAACGUUACAGUGAUACAAUGAUAUUAUGCUUCUUUGACAUAUGAAUAAACAAUGACAUUUAUUUAACUACUUUAAAACAACAUAUACAGAUGUAUCCACACCUAUAUUGGAACAAAACAACAGUACAAAAAAAAAAAAAAAAA